Molecule: ribosomal RNA, 176 nt
Filed under: uncultured rumen bacterium
Lineage: Bacteria
Description: partial 16S ribosomal RNA
Rfam family: Bacterial small subunit ribosomal RNA
Source: RNAcentral
CAGUGAGGAAUAUUGGUCAAUGGGCGAGAGCCUGAACCAGCCAAGNUAGCGUGCAGGAUGACGGCCCUAUGGGUUGUAAACUGCUUUUAUAUGGGGAUAAAGUGAGCCACGUGUGGCUUUUUGUAGGUACCAUAUGAAUAAGGACCGGCUAAUUCCGUGCCAGCAGCCGCGGUAAU